Molecule: ribosomal RNA, 447 nt
Filed under: uncultured bacterium
Lineage: Bacteria
Description: bacterial SSU rRNA
Rfam family: Bacterial small subunit ribosomal RNA
Source: RNAcentral
CCAGACUCCUACGGGAGGCAGCAGUGAGGGAUAUUGGGCAAUGGGGGAAACCCUGACCCAGCGACGCCGCGUGUGGGAAGACGGUCCUCUGGAUUGUAAACCACUGUCCCCAGGGACGAAGAUGACGGUACCUGGGGAGGAAGCUCCGGCUAACUACGUGCCAGCAGCCGCGGUAAUACGUAGGGAGCGAGCGUUGUCCGGAAUUACUGGGUGUAAAGGGAGCGUAGGCGGGGAUGCAAGUUGGGUGUCAAAACUACCGGCUCAACUGGUAGUCGCACUCAAAACUGCAGCUCUUGAGUGAAGUAGAGGCAGGCGGAAUUCCUAGUGUAGCGGUGAAAUGCGUAGAUAUUAGGAGGAACACCGGUGGCGAAGGCGGCCUGCUGGACGGCAACUGACGUUGAGGCCCGAAAGCGUGGGGAGCAAACAGGAUUAGAUACCCCAGUACUG